CUACGCUGUAUUUGAACAUGGAACAAUUAUAUAAAAAACGACUUUCUUAUUCACUAUUUCUGGCUGGGAAAUUUCGAAUUUCCUUGAAGUGGAAACACCAUGGUAAAAUUUGACAUAUAUCUCCCCCAAUUUUCAACUAUUUACAAAUUGUACUGUAACACUAAUUCUACGUCCAAAUCACGCAGCCAAACGUAUCAUAGGCGGGAGACUUAGGCAUGUAUUUCAUGAAAAUGCCUAGAACUAGAUUUUUUGAAAAAUGUUCUCGGGAUUCCCACUUUGUACAUUAAUAAACCUAAGUUGACUCCCAGCCAUUGGCCCAUUACCUCUGCUAUUUUCAUGAUUAAUUCCUCGGAUUCUUUGAGAAAUUACGGAAGAUCAACUAUCAUAGGACUUUAAACGAUGUCCUAAAUCAAUCACAGCUACCACGAAGCAUGGAACCAUAUAAAAACAAUGACAUGAAGACAACACAAAUUAUUUGCAUUCACGUCAUUGCAAUUUUUCCCGCGUAAAGACAUUAGAUGAAAACAAAUCACGUGAUUGCCAUACGUCAUAACAUCAACACC
Paramuricea clavata is the source of this 563-nucleotide non-coding RNA. Lineage: Eukaryota; Metazoa; Cnidaria; Anthozoa; Malacalcyonacea; Plexauridae. The record is from the annotation of a GenBank genome assembly.